GUGCGAGUAGUUUACCAAAUAUCAUGUCCCCAGCUUCUGUCAGACUGUUGAGGUAUGCGCUGGCCUCUGUGUUCUGUUUUUAUGACAAUUUACUUGGCGUAACGGUAAGAUUUGCGUCUUCUGGCAGAUGGUGGCUUGUUCAUUUUUCAGGGCCGACUUAAAUUUCCUAGCUGAAGUAUAUGGUUCCUUUGCUUUGAUCUAAGUGAGCUGCAAUGAAUCCUUGCGGUGAUUUUCCAUCUAACUUCAUUGUUACCUGUACGGCCAUCAGUUCAUUUGGUAGUUCCAAAAUGUUUGUCAACGAAGUAAAUGAUUCUAGGUUCAACU
This 324-nucleotide long non-coding RNA is filed under the name Mytilus galloprovincialis (Mediterranean mussel). Lineage: Eukaryota; Metazoa; Mollusca; Bivalvia; Mytilida; Mytilidae. The record is from RNAcentral.